This 1302-nucleotide long non-coding RNA is filed under the name Olea europaea subsp. europaea. Lineage: Eukaryota; Viridiplantae; Streptophyta; Magnoliopsida; Lamiales; Oleaceae. The record is from RNAcentral.
CUCCCUGACUUGCUGUUUCCUUGUCGGAUCUCUGAGACAUAUUAUUUUACCUUUUGUAUCUUCAACACCAAACACCACUGUCCCACUGGGCGUGCCAAAUUGUUUCGCGCGGGUUAGUCGCUAACAAUUAAAAAGGGAUCAGACGAUUGUAUAAGGGGCAAACCUCUUGAGACAAAAUCCCAAAAAUGGGCGUUUUUAUUGGCGAUGACUUUACAAUUGGAAAGUAAAAAAUCGAAUGGCUCCAAGGGACGCAAGCACACGAGUUACUGUAAAAGAAGUGUUUAAAUCUAAACUAAAAAAUUGAAACUUACAUAUUCUCUAUUUGAGAGUGUUUGAUUCGGGGUCUUUUGCUCUAUGUAUUUUCUUCCUUUUAUAUUCCUUGGAUGAUUUUUUCGUGAUCAACCGCUUAAGAAACUGUUUGAUCGCUCUAUAACUGCCCACUUUCCUUAUAGUGGCCAACUUGUCAUGGAACUGCUUUCUCUAACCGCUGCCAUUACUUUUGUCGUUCAACCGUCUUCAAUUGAAUUCGUUGAAUCGUGGAACGUGAUAGGACUAUCCAAUAACUGCUUCAUUAACUGCACUUUUGGGUAACCAUAACUUCUUAUGUUUGCUAAGAUACUGGGCGACUUGAAUGUUCGGACGAGAGCAGAGUCACAGCUCUGGGCGACUGCAUGGCAAUUCAUUCGCUCAAAUCUUGGGCGAUUUGCAACCUUCGGCGAUGGUAUUUCCGCGUUCAUGGGCUUCCUUAUUUGGGCCUUUAUCCUGCAUUGCCUGACUGGGUCGUUCUUUGGGCUAUUUGAUUUUGGGGAUCUUCUAAUUGGACUUCAUUCCUUGAGCUAUUCAACUUGGGCUGAACUUUUUGUGUGUCAACAACUACAUUCGCCAAUUAUUUUGCAUUGUUUAAUUGAUAUUAUCAGAACUGAGUAUAAGGCUUCCUAUCAGCAAGCUAAACAUCUUGUUGCAGCUAAUGAGCCUCCAGCAGUUUCUGCGCGCUAUCCUUGCUCUUUAGGUUCCACUCCUUGUAGUUUGUUGUGAAGACAACACACUUGGAUGAGUUCCACCAUCAUGGAGUGGGCAUGACAAUAGCAGGUUGUAGUCAUCCCUAGUAAAUAGAAUUCGUCAUAUAUUACCUGGCAAAGAAGCAUGCAUCUUUAUUAUCGUGCAUUUGAUAAGCAGGUAGCAAAUAAAAGUAGACUUCACUUCUAUGAUUCCAAAAGUAUGAUGCACUGGUGGUCAAAUUUUUCAAAGAUCAAAUAUCCUAAUGCAAGUGAAUUUUUAUAUAAAGACAGCAAAAUUGAAUUG